Long non-coding RNA from Solanum pennellii, 1285 nucleotides. RefSeq lists it as uncharacterized. Lineage: Eukaryota; Viridiplantae; Streptophyta; Magnoliopsida; Solanales; Solanaceae. The transcript is spliced from 3 exons. The record is from RefSeq and is a predicted model, not a curated record.
CUUGAUGUUCUGUCUUUAUCAUACUGAAAAUCGGUUAUUGAGAAAAGACUGGGGUUCUUGAUUUAUUCCAUAAGGCAUGUCGUUUACAAGAAUCCCAUGAGGUCUUUCUUUUUAUUUUGAAGAUAUUGAUCCAUUGAUGUUUUUUUUAUAAGGUAACUUUGUAUUCACACCAAAAAGCUCAUCAAUUUGAAGAUAUUGAUCCAUUGAUGUUCUCACAAAUGACAGUGUUAAUGUGUAAUUGAGUUCAAAAUAGAGGCAUUUUCAUGUUUCUUCAUACACAGGAUUGAUUGUAGGAGAAUCAGCUUAUGUAAACAAGAAGAUUUAUUGUCCCUUUACAUGUUCAGACUGAGUGAAUAUAGGAUCUCCAGAAUAAUGACCUUAACAAGAUAGUCCCUCCAUUUUUCCUGUAAUAGAGAUGCCCCUAGGAAGAGUAGAGCUGCUCAGAGCUUUACAACGCACACAUUAAAUUAUAAUGGUAGUAGUGGAUCUCGUAGUUUUUGAGUUUUGUUUGUUUUAGGUUGGGUGCUGGGGGAAAUAUCACUGUAAUGGACUUAUUAUCUGGAUUGUACAGUGGUUUUACCUGAUGCAUCUGAAAAUUUUUAGUUGUUUCCUUUUGAAGUGCUUAAUGUUGAUAAAGGGUUAGGCUAAGCUCUAAAAGUUGUGUUUGUUCCUAGAGCUUGAUAUCCAAUGUUUUUUGAAAUGAUUGGCUCAAUAUAUGAAGGAGUUGCAUAUUAAGACAGUAAUGAUGUGCUAUGUAAAGCUCAGCAGUAUAAUUUUUUGUCAGUAAAGCUGCAGUACUAUAAUUAUUAUUUCAGUUUGUCUAAUUGUACUUCCAGGCGGAGUUUAUGGAACAUGAUGAGGAUCCCUCUUCCUUUAGAUAAUCCGUCUGUUGGGUGCUCUAGCGGAGAAGUGUCGAGCAUUUGCAAAGGCCCUACAUUACAAGGAAAUGGAAUCUAAAGGCGCACUUUCAAAUAGGAGGGAUGCAAAUUCUGUUGCUGUAGUUGAAGCUCUAAUCCAAAUAAAUGAUCAAUUACAUCAACAUGAGGCAGCUAUUGGAAUAUUAACAUAUGCUCAGCAGCGUGGGGGUUCAGCUAUAGGAGUCACAGUACCGCUGAUUGUUGCAUUCUGUUUUACUGUUUUAGUUGCAGCUUGUUUUUUCUUGUUAGUCCUAAUUAGUACUAUAGGUUGCACUAGCUUUAAAGAUGUCAAACAUGAUUAAGUUUUCAGAUGAUGAUUCUAUUACAGUAAUCAUUAUAAAGAAAUAUAUGCCUACGAACCGAACUAU